Pelobates cultripes (western spadefoot toad) is the source of this 211-nucleotide non-coding RNA. The record is from the annotation of a GenBank genome assembly. Lineage: Eukaryota; Metazoa; Chordata; Amphibia; Anura; Pelobatidae.
CUAACUUGCUGGUUCUCUUAGCUGUCACUAACAGCAGCUGAUGGAAAAGGGGCAUGUUUGAUGGGUGAUGUGCAAUAGCUGUCUUUGCACAAGAUCGUCGUUGGAUCUUGUAGGAUCUUCCAUACACCUAUUUUGUAGGUCCUGGGUGGCCACUAUGCAAGCAGAUAUGUCACCUUGUAGGCUCAGUAAGUGUGAAGCUGCUACCCUCCCC